Ficedula albicollis (Collared flycatcher) is the source of this 689-nucleotide long non-coding RNA. RefSeq lists it as uncharacterized. NCBI's taxonomy places the organism in Eukaryota, Metazoa, Chordata, Aves, Passeriformes, Muscicapidae. The transcript has 3 exons. The record is from RefSeq and is a predicted model, not a curated record.
CAGGAGCCUUCAGCUGACGGGCGGCUUCUGGUUUCUCUCCUUACAGCCGGGCUCUGCGGAUGCUGAGGCUGCUCUGGGCUCUGCCAGGGCUCUGCUGGGCUCAGCCCUGGGCACGGCUGGGCCCGCUCUGCCCUCACAUUGCUCUGACAGCUUUGCAUCAGACGAGCCUGUUCCGAGCACACCGCCUGAGCUUUCUGCUUUGCAGAAGUGCCACGAGUGGGCAGAACCUGGCGAGCGGGCCGUGUUCCUUAGGCAGUGCAGUCUGGAGCUGAUGGAUGGAGAAUUGCCCUUCUGCACUCCCAAACCAAGUAAAAGCUAAAACAUGCCAUAAAAUAGGAGUGUCCUCUGUUCCUGGUUCCCGUGUGGAGCAGCUCCUUCCCGCUGGCUGAGCUGUUCAGGCAGAGCAGUCUCUGGAAGAGACUUACAGGCUCCCUGUUUGCUGUGCUGCCCCACUUGUGCCCGGCCCAGCUCUGUGUGGGGCAGAGGGAGAACAAGGGGCAGCUCCCUCCCAGCCCCCAGCCCAGGGACCCCUCUGGCCCCGGGGCUUGGGGCACUGUCAGCACCCACUGCUCCAGCCACCGCUUCUGCUGGCACUGACAGCAACGCCCAAACUGUGGCUGAUCCCGAGGGAGCAGCAGCAGUGCCUGAAUCUGAUCCCUGACUCUGGGCAGGGCUGGACAAAUGACCCC